GAAUUCGCCCUUAGAGUUUGAUCCUGGCUCAGGACGAACGCUGGCGGCGCGCCUAACACAUGCAAGUCGAACGAGCGAGAGAGAGCUUGCUUUCUCGAGCGAGUGGCGAACGGGUGAGUAACGCGUGAGGAACCUGCCUCAAAGAGGGGGACAACAGUUGGAAACGACUGCUAAUACCGCAUAAGCCCACGGGUCGGCAUCGACCAGAGGGAAAAGGAGCAAUCCGCUUUGAGAUGGCCUCGCGUCCGAUUAGCUAGUUGGUGAGGUAAUGGCCCACCAAGGCGACGAUCGGUAGCCGGACUGAGAGGUUGAACGGCCACAUUGGGACUGAGACACGGCCCAGACUCCUACGGGAGGCAGCAGUGGGGAAUAUUGCACAAUGGGGGAAACCCUGAUGCAGCGACGCCGCGUGGAGGAAGAAGGUCUUCGGAUUGUAAACUCCUGUUGUUGGGGAAGAUAAUGACGGUACCCAACAAGGAAGUGACGGCUAACUACGUGCCAGCAGCCGCGGUAAAACGUAGGUCACAAGCGUUGUCCGGAAUUACUGGGUGUAAAGGGAGCUCAGGCGGGAAGACAAGUUGGAAGUGAAAUCUAUGGGCUCAACCCAUAAACUGCUUUCAAAACUGUUUUUCUUGAGUAGUGCAGAGGUAGGCGGAAUUCCCGGUGUAGCGGUGGAAUGCGUAGAUAUCGGGAGGAACACCAGUGGCGAAGGCGGCCUACUGGGCACCAACUGACGCUGAGGCUCGAAAGUGUGGGUAGCAAACAGGAUUAGAUACCCUGGUAGUCCACACCGUAAACGAUGAUUACUAGGUGUUGGAGGAUUGACCCCUUCAGUGCCGCAGUUAACACAAUAAGUAAUCCACCUGGGGAGUACGACCGCAAGGUUGAAACUCAAAGGAAUUGACGGGGGCCCGCACAAGCAGUGGAGUAUGUGGUUUAAUUCGAAGCAACGCGAAGAACCUUACCAGGUCUUGACAUCCGAUGCAUAGCUUAGAGAUAAGUGAAGUCCUUCGGGACAUCGAGACAGGUGGUGCAUGGUUGUCGUCAGCUCGUGUCGUGAGAUGUUGGGUUAAGUCCCGCAACGAGCGCAACCCUUAUUGCCAGUUACUACGCAAGAGGACUCUGGCGAGACUGCCGUUGACAAAACGGAGGAAGGUGGGGAUGACGUCAAAUCAUCAUGCCCUUUAUGACCUGGGCUACACACGUACUACAAUGGCGUUUAACAAAGAGAAGCAAGACCGCGAGGUGGAGCAAAACUCAAAAACAACGUCUCAGUUCAGAUUGCAGGCUGCAACUCGCCUGCAUGAAGUCGGAAUUGCUAGUAAUCGCGGAUCAGCAUGCCGCGGUGAAUACGUUCUCGGGCCUUGCACUCACCGCCCGUCA
RNAcentral lists this ribosomal RNA (1383 nucleotides) under uncultured bacterium. Its description in RNAcentral is "bacterial SSU rRNA". It matches the Rfam family "Bacterial small subunit ribosomal RNA". The record is from RNAcentral.